CAUGGCUCAGGACGAACGCUGGCGGCGUGCCUAAUACAUGCAAGUCGAACGAACUCUGGUAUUGAUUGGUGCUUGCAUCAUGAUUUACAUUUGAGUGAGUGGCGAACUGGUGAGUAACACGUGGGAAACCUGCCCAGAAGCGGGGGAUAACACCUGGAAACAGAUGCUAAUACCGCAUAACAACUUGGACCGCAUGGUCCGAGUUUGAAAGAUGGCUUCGGCUAUCACUUUUGGAUGGUCCCGCGGCGUAUUAGCUAGAUGGUGGGGUAACGGCUCACCAUGGCAAUGAUACGUAGCCGACCUGAGAGGGUAAUCGGCCACAUUGGGACUGAGACACGGCCCAAACUCCUACGGGAGGCAGCAGUAGGGAAUCUUCCACAAUGGACGAAAGUCUGAUGGAGCAACGCCGCGUGAGUGAAGAAGGGUUUCGGCUCGUAAAACUCUGUUGUUAAAGAAGAACAUAUCUGAGAGUAACUGUUCAGGUAUUGACGGUAUUUAACCAGAAAGCCACGGCUAACUACGUGCCAGCAGCCGCGGUAAUACGUAGGUGGCAAGCGUUGUCCGGAUUUAUUGGGCGUAAAGCGAGCGCAGGCGGUUUUUUAAGUCUGAUGUGAAAGCCUUCGGCUCAACCGAAGAAGUGCAUCGGAAACUGGGAAACUUGAGUGCAGAAGAGGACAGUGGAACUCCAUGUGUAGCGGUGAAAUGCGUAGAUAUAUGGAAGAACACCAGUGGCGAAGGCGGCURUCUGGUCUGUAACUGACGCUGAGGCUCGAAAGUAUGGGUAGCAAACAGGAUUAGAUACCCUGGUAGUCCAUACCGUAAACGAUGAAUGCUAAGUGUUGGAGGGUUUCCGCCCUUCAGUGCUGCAGCUAACGCAUUAAGCAUUCCGCCUGGGGAGUACGGCCGCAAGGCUGAAACUCAAAGGAAUUGACGGGGGCCCGCACAAGCGGUGGAGCAUGUGGUUUAAUUCGAAGCUACGCGAAGAACCUUACCAGGUCUUGACAUACUAUGCAAAUCUAAGAGAUUAGACGUUCCCUUCGGGGACAUGGAUACAGGUGGUGCAUGGUUGUCGUCAGCUCGUGUCGUGAGAUGUUGGGUUAAGUCCCGCAACGAGCGCAACCCUUAUUAUCAGUUGCCAGCAUUAAGUUGGGCACUCUGGUGAGACUGCCGGUGACAAACCGGAGGAAGGUGGGGAUGACGUCAAAUCAUCAUGCCCCUUAUGACCUGGGCUACACACGUGCUACAAUGGAUGGUACAACGAGUUGCGAACUCGCGAGAGUAAGCUAAUCUCUUAAAGCCAUUCUCAGUUCGGAUUGUAGGCUGCAACUCGCCUACAUGAAGUCGGAAUCGCUAGUAAUCGCGGAUCAGCAUGCCGCGGUGAAUACGUUCCCGGGCCUUGUACACACCGCCCGUCACACCAUGAGAGUUUGUA
RNAcentral lists this ribosomal RNA (1432 nucleotides) under Lactiplantibacillus plantarum. RNAcentral describes it as "bacterial SSU rRNA". It matches the Rfam family "Bacterial small subunit ribosomal RNA". The record is from RNAcentral. Lineage: Bacteria; Bacillati; Bacillota; Bacilli; Lactobacillales; Lactobacillaceae.